UAAAAAGUUUUGCUUUACAGAUGGAGUUAAUAAUAGUUUAUAAGCUAAAAUGAAAAGGAUUUUGGGUGAGCUUCCUAAAGAGGAAGUGAGUCACUGUCUCGGCAGGAAAAGUGUUCCAGAUAGGCAGGGCUGGACGAGUUACAAAACACCCCCCAACUGUGUGGAGUCACAGGGAGUGGACAAGGGAUUAUUGCAUCCCAGAUUGCAGAAAACCAGGAAUUAGUAGGGGGCCUUGAAUUCCCCCCUGGGCCAUGUGUCUCUAGGUAUGGCCUUCUCCCAUCUCCCAGGCUCAGCUGAGUCAUCCCAGGGAAGGCGGAAUGGCUGAGGAAGAAGCAGGUGUUGCAGAUGGGUGGGUGAUUCAGUGGAUGGUGUUAUUCCCACUGAGUCAAUGCUAAAGCAGUUUGUAAGCAGGAAGUUGGGGACACUGUGUGGCUUCAGGAUCUGCUUUCUAAAUCCAGUGACAUUCAAGGAGUCUGCGGUUCCCUCAGAUUGCUUUCCACAGGGGCACUUCAGUCAUUCCCAUAAGCUCAGAUCCUUCCAAGCAACUCAGAGGAAGCAAAGCUCCCCAGAAGGUUCCUGCUCAUCUCUUCAAGGAGACGCUGCAGACAGAAAGCAACAGCUCAUCAAGCCUUAAUGGCAAGAAAAGAAAUGAACUAAACAAAUUCUUUUUUCCUCCUGCUAGCCCCAGCAUUUAAUUUUUGACUUUUAGAGUCUAAACAUAGCAACACGGCACCGAACAGAAGGCUCCCUAAAUUUUUGGGAAUCUCUAUUCUUGUAUUUAAAGCCUAAAAGAAAUGUAAUGCUUAUUCUGAAUAUCUUCAAAGUAAAUCAAUAACUAAGCACGA
This is a long non-coding RNA of Serinus canaria (Common canary), 845 nucleotides long. RefSeq lists it as uncharacterized. The record is from RefSeq and is a predicted model, not a curated record. The transcript has 2 exons. Lineage: Eukaryota; Metazoa; Chordata; Aves; Passeriformes; Fringillidae.